Long non-coding RNA from Homo sapiens (human), 3269 nucleotides. RefSeq lists it as uncharacterized. The transcript is spliced from 3 exons. NCBI's taxonomy places the organism in Eukaryota, Metazoa, Chordata, Mammalia, Primates, Hominidae. The record is from RefSeq and is a predicted model, not a curated record.
CAAGUUGAAGGUCUAAAUUGAUAAUCACUUUAUUUCAGGAGUCCAACACUAUGUCUGAAACAUCACCAUAGAACAAGAUGGAUGGAUGUUUUCAUCACAUCUAUGGAUAUUAGACCUAGAAGAAAUGCCACCCAACCUCCUCAGUUUUGUAUUUAUUUGACUGAUAAAAGAAAAACUUCAGCUGAAUUAAAUUUAAAGAAGUUUAACUGAACAACCAACGAUUCACGAAUCAAGCAGCUUUCCCAGCCAGAGUAGGCUCAGAGACUCCAGCACAGCCACAUGGGAGAAGAUUUAUGGACAGAAAAAGGAAAGUGAGGCACAGAAGCAACUAGAUUGGUUACAGGUUGGCAUUUGCCUUAUUUCAACAUGUUCAAACAAUUGGCUACAUUUGGCCAAAACUCAAUGAUUGGCACAAGUGUAAGCUACGGUCUGUUUACACCUCCACUUGUUAUAGUUCACAAUGUACAGAAAAACCUUUAAGUCGAACUUAAAAUACGUACAGAGGCAACUUUAGGCUAAACUUGAUUUAACAGGACUUUGGAGAAUUGUUAAUUUGAGUAUAUUAGGAAUAUAGCCAUUUUGUGUAUAAAAAAGCUAUGCGUGGUUUUACAGGAACCUAGUUCAAGAAAAAUCAGACAUAUAAAACAGACUAAUAAGGAAGUGCUUACUCUGAUUAGAAAAUUAUUCACCUUACAGGAUAAUUUGCAUCAGAGUUCAUUUUAUCUGUGUGCAUCCGAAAUAUGAUUUUGUAUUAAAAGUGAGUACUUAUUACUAUCUUAAAUUUUAUUGCAUUUGUCUAAUUAUCCAGAUAAUUAUGGUUUUUAAGAAAGAUAUGCUUUCACCUGAACUACCCCAAACCUGAGAAAUAAUGUUAUUUAUAGAACAUUAGAACUGGAAGGGAACUGAGAAACCCUUUAACCAAGCUGUAUGUAGAUUUGUUUUUUUAAUGUUGAGCUUGUAGUUAGAAUGUAGAUGCAGGAAAGUUGAUCAGCAUUAUCAUCACUUAUUAAUUUAUUCUAGCUCUCAUUUUGUAAGUGUGUGUGUGUGCAUGUGUGUAUUUGGCGUAAGAAGUUGGCUAAAAUUUCCUAGCCUAAAAAUGAUCAAAGGAGUAUUUUCUUGAUCUGCAGUCAAAUGCUCUACCCCUGAGCUAUACCUUCUCCUUAAAGGAGUAUUUUCUACUACCCCUUUAUUCAGCAAGUAGCAAAUAAAAAGAAAGGAACCUUAAAGUCUUUAUAGGUGACUUUUAUUUGAAAAAUAUAUGACAUAUGACCCACAUCUAUGUACUAGUUUUAAAUGCUAUCUGGCCUUUGUUAUUAUUUGUCUUAACAAAACAAAACAAAAUCGUGCAGUUGUCAGAGGUGUGUGAACCAGAGCAACUCCAUCUUAAGUAGGAGCUGGGUAAAAUGAGGCUGAAACCUACUGGGCUGCAUUCCCAGAUGGUGAAGGCAUUAUAAGUCACAGGAUGAGACAGGAGGUCAGCACAAAAUACAGGUCAUGAAGACCUUGCUGAUAAAACAGGUGGCAGUAAAGGAGCCGGCUAAAACCCACCAAAACCCAAAUGUCGACGAGAGUGACCUCUGGUUGUCCUCACUGCUACACUCCCAACAGCACCAUGACAGUUUACAAGUGCCAAAGCAAAUCAGGAAGUUACCCUAUGUGGGCUAAAAAGGGGAGGUGUGAAUUAUCCACCCCUUGUUUAACAUAUCAUCCAGAAAUAACCAUAAAAAUAGGCAACCAGCAGCCCUCGGGGCUGCUCUGUCUAUGGAGUAGCCAUUCUUUUAUUCCUUUACUUUCUAAAUAAACUUGCUUUCACUUUGCACUGCAGACUCGCCCUGAAUUCUUUCUUAUGCGAGAUCCAAGAACCCUCUCUUGGGGUCUGGAUCAGGACCCCUGUCCUGUAACAUAUUUCUGGUGACCAUGAAGGGACUAUAGUGCAGUAGCCCUGACCCAAUGGCUACCUUUGGGUAAGUGUCGGGGUCCUGUAACGUCUUUCUGGCGACCAAGGAAGCGACUAUACUGUGGAAACCCCCGACCCAAAGGCUACCUUUCGGUAAGUGGUGGGGUCCGGUAACAUCUUUCUAGGGAACCACAAAAGGGACAAUACUAAGGAGACCCCCCCCCCUCGCCUGACCCAAAGGAAAUAGACUGCAGCACUGAUGGGACAACUUUGGGUAAGUGGUGAGGUACCCAGGUAAAGAAUGGGAUUGGGUUAAGGGCCCAACUUAGGGGAGUUAGGGUCUCUCCUAAGACAGAAUGGGUUAGAGGCCCAUCUUAAUAAAAGGCAAGGAUGCUUGACUUUAGGUUAGAGGCCCGACUUAGGAGGGUUAGAGUCCCUUCUAAGAUUUAGGGGGUUAGAGGCCUCUCUCAGUAAAGUCUCUCUCAGUUAAGAACAGGUUUGGCACUAUGUGAUGUUAACUGCUGUUCUCUUUGGAUUAAUCUGCCUUGCAGUCUUUGCUGAUGGCUGUGGGUGACAAGGUUAGGCAUGUACAGGAUCCAGGGACAUAGGGACCUUUUUCCUCCCUAAAAGGGAAACUUGAGAGCUAACAGGAUGGCUGGAAAAUAUCCCUUUGCUACCGAGAAACAGCCGACUGGACUUUUCAAUAUUGCUGCAAUGGGUGGGUCUUUCUCACCCCCCUGAGCAUUUCGCCUUCCCCACACUGCCACAGGCAAUGCUUUUCUCUCUCUCCUUUCCCUUUCUUAUCUUUUCUAUUACUCAGGGCAGCCAUCUUGCCCAGAGACCACGUGUCGUGUCGAAACUCCAAGUCAGAGGUUGGAUUAAAGAUGACAGGGCCCAUCUGGUGGCAAAUUUAAGUCUUGCCACUUUGAUAUUGGGUGCUAAGCAGAGUGGCUAACAUCUAUGUUUUAUCACACGUAUUUUACUCUGGCCAGAAUGAAAAAAAGUAAUUUUCUUUUAUAUGCGGCUUGGCCCCCAGGGCGAUGAUGCCACAAACCGGAUCACUAGGGCCAUUCAGAAGCCUGGCAUGCCGGCCAAAGGCUAGCAGGUUACCUCUGGUAAAGUUCAGAAGCUAGAAAUAUUGGCUGCUUGGCAUGGCUGAAGUCAGGUAAUAAGAGAUCUGAAAGGAUUUCUUUUUUAAAGAGCACUAUGGUUAAAAGUCAACUUAACUAAAAGUGGAUAAACAAGCUAUAGAUAUAUUUUAAAGGCCUUUAUGUUUUUCUCUUCUUGGAACUUGUUUUUCCGGGACUCCUUGGGAAAAACAGAGGAGGUGCCACAGACCCCGUUUUGGGGAAAAAUCUGUUUUCCUCAUGAA